UCUAGGGGGCCCGCAAGGGUCACCGGCGAACGGGUGCGUAACACGUGAGCGACCUACCUUGAGAUGGGGGAUAGCCGGCCCAACGGCCGGGUAAUACCGCAUACGCUCAUCGGGCUUCCUGGCCUGGUGAGGAAAGCUUUCGCGUCUCUAGAGGGGCUCGCGGCCUAUCAGCUAGUUGGCGGGGUAAUGGCCCACCAAGGCGAUGACGGGUAGCUGGUCUGAGAGGAUGGCCAGCCACAUUGGGACUGAGAAACGGCCCAGACUCCUACGGGAGGCAGCAGUGGGGAAUAUUGCGCAAUGGUCGAAAGACUGACGCAGCGACGCCGCGUGGAGGAUGACGCCCUUCGGGGUGUAAACUCCUGUUGCUCGGGACGAAACCUCCUUUCGAGGAGACUGACGGUACCGAGUGAGGAAGCACCGGCUAACUCUGUGCCAGCAGCCGCGGUAAUACAGAGGGUGCGAGCGUUGUCCGGAAUCACUGGGCGUAAAGGGCGCGUAGGCGGCUUGGUAAGCGUGCGGUGAAAGCUCGGGGCUCAACCCCGAGUCUGCCGUGCGAACUGCCGAGCUGGAGCACGGUAGAGGCACAUGGAAUUCCGGGUGUAGCGGUGGAAUGCGUAGAGAUCCGGAAGAACACCGGUGGCGAAGGCGGUGUGCUGGGCCGUAGCUGACGCUGAGGCGCGACAGCGUGGGGAGCAAACAGGAUUAGAUACCCUGGUAGUCCACGCCGUAAACGAUGGGCACUAGGUCCUUGGGGGAGCGACCCCUUGAGGGCCGUCGCAAACGCAUUAAGUGCCCCGCCUGGGGAGUACGGCCGCAAGGCUGAAACUCAAAGGAAUUGACGGGGGCCCGCACAAGC
RNAcentral lists this ribosomal RNA (856 nucleotides) under uncultured bacterium. RNAcentral describes it as "bacterial SSU rRNA". It matches the Rfam family "Bacterial small subunit ribosomal RNA", at positions 62 to 930 of the family's 1533-position model. The record is from RNAcentral.